This 245-nucleotide long non-coding RNA is filed under the name Callithrix jacchus (white-tufted-ear marmoset). Its description in RNAcentral is "lncRNA (ENSCJAG00000076230.1)". The record is from RNAcentral. Lineage: Eukaryota; Metazoa; Chordata; Mammalia; Primates; Cebidae.
CAUCAUGCUCAUCUUUAAAACAAGAAAAACCUGGACAAAUUGAAAAUCAAUUACUUGGCCGAUUAGAAAACCUCUACCCUGAAAUAAAGGAGAGAGAGAUAGUGAUCCAGAGAGACAGCUGGGAUCGGCUUCCCUGGAGCAGCAGCUGCUGGAGCUUAAAUUGAUUUAAAUCAAGCAUUAUGAAGCACAGUGUGACGGGAAGAACGUUCAUCUGCAGGUAAGGAGGUCUGGCGCUUCAUUACAGU